Molecule: long non-coding RNA, 1965 nt
Organism: Orcinus orca (killer whale)
Lineage: Eukaryota; Metazoa; Chordata; Mammalia; Artiodactyla; Delphinidae
Exons: 2
Source: RefSeq, a predicted model, not a curated record
GGACACUUAGGUUGCUUCCUUGUCCUGGCUAUUGUAAAUAGAGCUGCAAUGAAUAUUGUGGUACAUGACUCUUUUUGAACAAACUGUAAACAGAAAGAGUAACAUUAACUUGAAUCAUUUUUAUUAAAAAAAAUAGCAGAAGAUUGUAAAACUGUUAUUGCAAUUUUUUUCACCUGUUUUUGUAAUUUGUAGGCAUUGGGUUCUGAUGCAGUUGCCAUAAAAAUAACCUACACUUUCUACUUGGAAGCUCAUAAAGGCUGACUAGCUGCUGUCUGUUUCCUGCAGAGGCAUCUAAAGAAAUCCUGUUUCUUUGCUGGUGUCCCUAUAUUCUCCCUGACUCAGGGGCUGGGGAAGACUCAUUUGCUAGGUCUUUCUCAGCCUGUUGAAUUAGGAGCAAACAUGUCAUGUGCAAACAGGACAAUGGUUGACGAUCUAAGUGGGUUCACAGGUCUCUGAUCAUCAAGCUCCUUGUAGGAUCUGAAGCUUUCUGGUUCUCAGGUUUGGAGUCUGAUGUUCUUUUCUUGUUUGGCCCAUGCGGCAGAAAGCAUCAUAUCAGUUCUCUUUGCUGGAAUCUCAACAGUACCCAAGGUCUUAUACUUAUGGUUCCUAGCAACUGAUUUAUGAUAGGGCUUAUUUCAUUGGACUGUAAUGUUUUGUUUCAUGAAUGUCUCCCCUACUAGACUGAGGAUUCUCUUAAAGCAGGAAUAAAUAAACUGGUAGAAACCAUGAUGGUUUUUAUUUUAUGGUUAUAGAACGGAAAUAAUAGAACUUUGAAAAAACACUCAGGGCUGGUGCAGGGAAAGAAUGAUUGACAAAUCAUGACUGAACUCAUAUGAAUGAAACCACUCAGAUUUCCAAUAAUCUUCUCACAGGUCAUAACCAGUGUCUUUCUAUUUUAGAUCAAAUGAAAAUUCACAGUGAUUAAUUUUUAAAUCAAUGAUGAUGUCUGCUCAUACAUAUGAAUAUGUUCUCCCACCUUAAAAUACCAAGGGCAAAAUAUGUGAAAGAACAUUUUAGUUAUAAAUUGACAAUAAAAAUGGUCACUCACUCAAGUAGACAUAAGCUUGGAAUAACCUCUUUGUCGAGGUAAGUGUUUGAGAUAACAAGAUCUUCCUCUUUACUUAAUUAGAGAUUUUGUGUUUUAACUGGAGGCUCCAAAAUAUUUUCUAAGAAUGGAAUGUGAAUCAGUUGAAGAAUACGUAGCAAUGUUUUUUGUUUCCAAACAUGUUCCACAGCUUAGAAAGAAAAAUAAUAUAACUAUCAUACUAAUAAAUAACAUAUACAUAUUCAACCAGUAUCAUAGAAUUCUUCCAUUUCUAGUAAUACAACAGAAAAGCUAAUAAUAUAAUGGAUUAAUUUGUUAGGAUAAUUUAACUUUGCUAAAUUACAAUUUCUCUUUUCAAGAUUGACCUUUAAAUAGACAUCAGGGUUAUGAGCCAUAUUGAUUUUAUUUUCUGGCUAUGUUAAUUAUAAAGUGAUAUUAUCUAGCUUUUAAGGUGAUCAAUAGGUUUAUUCCAGAUAUUAAAAAAAACUACUGGUCCUGCUUAUAAAUUAUUUUGAUGAUUGGAGAGAAUGAGAUUACUAAUUAUUUAUAAUUUUAUUCAAAGCAGAGAUAAUUGUAGUUAAAUUGCUUUUAAAUAAAAAUACAGUAUUAGGUUAAUUUUAACUUGGGUUUCUGGUCAUUUAUGUUAAGGGUUAAUAAAGUUUUUCGUUAUCCUAAUUAUCAGAUCAUCAUUAAUAUUUUGUUUUUCCUUUAAAUGAAACAAAAUUACAAAAGCAACAGCUGGGCUUCCCUGGUGGCGCAGUGGUUGAGAGUCCGCCUGCCAAUGCAGGGGACGCGGGUUCGUGCCCCGGUCCGGGAGGAUCCCGCGUGCCGCGGAGCGGCUGGGCCCGUGGGCCACGGCCGCUGAGCCUGCGCGUCCGGAGCCUGUGCUCCGCAGCGGGAGAGGCCGCAGCGGUGAGAGG